Molecule: transfer RNA, 73 nt
Filed under: Ferroacidibacillus organovorans
Lineage: Bacteria; Bacillati; Bacillota; Bacilli; Caryophanales; Alicyclobacillaceae
Description: Acidibacillus ferrooxidans tRNA
Rfam family: tRNA
About the family: Transfer RNA (tRNA) molecules are approximately 80 nucleotides in length. Their secondary structure includes four short double-helical elements and three loops (D, anti-codon, and T loops).
Source: Rfam by way of RNAcentral
GAGCCAUUAGCUCAGUUGGCAGAGCACCUGACUUUUAAUCAGGGUGUCGAUGGUUCGAGUCCAUCAUGGCUCA